This 1445-nucleotide ribosomal RNA is filed under the name uncultured Bacteroidales bacterium. RNAcentral describes it as "bacterial SSU rRNA". It matches the Rfam family "Bacterial small subunit ribosomal RNA". Lineage: Bacteria; Pseudomonadati; Bacteroidota; Bacteroidia; Bacteroidales. The record is from RNAcentral.
GAUGAACGCUAGCGACAGGCUUAACACAUGCAAGUCGAGGGGUAACAGGGUAGCAAUACCGCUGACGACCGGCGCACGGGUGAGUAACGCGUAUGCAACCUGCCCCGUACACGGGGAUAGCCUUCCGAAAGGGAGAUUAAUACCCGAUGGAACAAAGUUUUCGCAUGGGAAUUUUGUUAAAAGAUUCAUUGGUACGGGAGGGGCAUGCGUCGGAUUAGAUAGUUGGUAAGGUAACGGCUUACCAAGUCAACGAUCCGGAGGGGAACUGAGAGGUUUAUCCCCCACACUGGUACUGAGACACGGACCAGACUCCUACGGGAGGCAGCAGUGAGGAAUAUUGGUCAAUGGACGAGAGUCCGAACCAGCCAAGUCGCGUGAAGGAAGACGGUAUUAUGUAUUGUAAACUUCUUUUGAAGGGGAGUAAAGAGUGGGACGUGUCCUGCGUUGCAAGUACCCUUCGAAUAAGCAUCGGCUAACUCCGUGCCAGCAGCCGCGGUAAUACGGAGGAUGCGAGCGUUAUCCGGAUUUAUUGGGUUUAAAGGGUGCGUAGGUUGGCUUUCAAGUCAGCGGUGAAAUGUCUCUGCUUAACAGGGAAACUGCCGUUGAAACUGAAGGUCUUGAGUGUAAACGAGGCAGGCGGAAUUCGUAUUGUAGCGGUGAAAUGCAUAGAUAAUACGAAGAACCCCGAUAGCGCAGGCAGCUUGCCAGGCUACAACUGACACUGAAGCACGAAAGUGUGGGUAUCAAACAGGAUUAGAUACCCUGGUAGUCCACACGGUAAACGAUGAUUACUCGCUGUUUGCGAUAUACAGUAAGCGGCUAAGCGAAAGCGUUAAGUAAUCCACCUGGGGAGUACGCCGGCAACGGUGAAACUCAAAGGAAUUGACGGGGGCCCGCACAAGCGGAGGAACAUGUGGUUCAAUUCGAUGAUACGCGAGGAACCUUACCCGGGCUCGAACGGCUAACGCAUAUUUGUGAAAGCAAAUAGUCAGCAAUGACGUUAGUCGAGGUGCUGCAUGGUUGUCGUCAGCUCGUGCCGUGAGGUGUCGGCUUAAGUGCCAUAACGAGCGCAACCCCUUCCGGAAGUUGCCACCGGGUCAAGCCGGGGACUCUGCCGGGACUGCCGCCGCAAGGUGCGAGGAAGGCGGGGAUGACGUCAAAUCAGCACGGCCCUUACGUCCGGGGCUACACACGUGUUACAAUGGGUGGGACAGAAGGCAGCUACUUAGCAAUAAGAUGCGAAUCCCGAAACCCUCUCCCAGUUCGGAUUGGAGUCUGCAACCCGACUCCAUGAAGCCGGAUUCGCUAGUAAUCGCGCAUCAGCCACGGCGCGGUGAAUACGUUCCCGGGCCUUGUACACACCGCCCGUCAAGCCAUGGAAGCCGGGAGUACUUGAAGAACGUAACCGCAAGGAUCGCUCUAGGGUAAUACCGGUAACUGGGGCU